CCUUCGGGAACUCUGACACAGGUGCUGCAUGGCUGUCGUCAGCUCGUGUCGUGAGAUGUUGGGUUAAGUCCGUAACGAGCGCAACCCUUGUCCUUAGUUACCAGCACGGUUAUGGUGGGCACUCUAAGGAGGACUGCCGGUGACAAACCGGAGGAAGGUGGGGAUGACGGUCAAGUCAUCAUGGCCCUUACGGCCUGGGCUACACACGUGCUACAAUGGUCGGUACAAAGGGUUGCCAAGGCCGCGAGGUGGAGCUAAUCCCAUAAAACCGAUCGUAGUCCGGAUCGCAGUCUGCAACUCGACUGCGUGAAGUCGGAAUCGCUAGUAAUCGUGAAUCAGAAUGUCACGGUGAAUACGUUCCCGGGCCUU
Molecule: ribosomal RNA, 369 nt
Filed under: uncultured Pseudomonas sp.
Lineage: Bacteria; Pseudomonadati; Pseudomonadota; Gammaproteobacteria; Pseudomonadales; Pseudomonadaceae
Description: bacterial SSU rRNA
Rfam family: Bacterial small subunit ribosomal RNA
Source: RNAcentral